This 486-nucleotide ribosomal RNA is filed under the name uncultured bacterium. RNAcentral's name for it is "partial 16S ribosomal RNA". It matches the Rfam family "Bacterial small subunit ribosomal RNA", at positions 30 to 507 of the family's 1533-position model. The record is from RNAcentral.
AUUGAACGCUGGCGGCAUGCCUUACACAUGCAAGUCGAACGGCAGCACGGGUGCUUGCACCUGGUGGCGAGUGGCGAACGGGUGAGUAAUACAUCGGAACAUGUCCUGUAGUUGGGGAUAGCCCGGCGAAAGCCGGAUUAAUACCGCAUACGAUCUACGGAUGAAAGCGGGGGCCCUUCGGGCCUCGCGCUAUAGGGUUGGCCGAUGGCUGAUUAGCUAGUUGGUGGGGUAAAGGCCCACCAAGGCGACGAUCAGUAGCUGGUCUGAGAGGACGACCAGCCACACUGGGACUGAGACACGGCCCAGACUCGUACGGGAGGCAGCAGUGGGGAAUUUUGGACAAUGGGCGAAAGCCUGAUCCAGCAAUGCCGCGUGUGUGAAGAAGGCCUUCGGGUUGUAAAGCACUUUUGUCCGGAAAGAAAUCCUUGGCCCUAAUACGGUCGGGGGAUGACGGUACCGGAAGAAUAAGCACCGGCUAACUACGUG